CGGUGGCUUUUGCCCGGUGCACUCUUCUGCUGUCAGGCCAGCAUCAGUUCGGGCGGUCGGAUAAAGGCUUCGGGAAUGUAGCUCCUCUCGGGGAGUGUUAUAGCCCGCUGCGAAAUGCGGCCAGCCUGGACUGAGGUCCGCGCUUCGGCUAGGAUGCUGGCGUAAUGGUUGUAAGCGGCCCGUCUUGAAACACGGACCAAGGAGUCUAACAUCUGUGCGAGUGUUUGGGUGUUAAACCCGUACGCGUAAUGAAAGUGAACGGAGGCGGGAACCCCCCGGGGUGCACCGUCGACCGAUCCUGAUGUCUUCGGAUGGAUUUGAGUAAGAGCAUAGCUGUUGGGACCCGAAAGAUGGUGAACUAUGCCUGAAUAGGGUGAAGCCAGAGGAAACUCUGGUGGAGGCUCGCAGCGGUUCUGACGUGCAAAUCGAUCGUCAAAUUUGGGCAUAGGGGCGAAAGACUAAUCGAACUAUCUAGUAGCUGGUUCCUGCCGAAGUUUCCCUCAGGAUAGCAGUAACGUUUUCAGUUUUAUGAGGUAAAGCGAAUGAUUAGAGGCCUGGGGGUUGAAACAACCUUCACCUAUUCUCAAACUUUAAAUAUGUAAGAAGUCCUUGUUGCUCAGUUGAACGUGGACAUUUGAAUGUAUCGUUACUAGUGGGCCAUUUUUGGUAAGCAGAACUGGCGAUGCGGGAUGAACCGAACGCGGAGUUAAGGUGCCGGAAUGCACGCUCAUCAGACACCACAAAAGGUGUUGGUUCAUCU
Molecule: ribosomal RNA, 760 nt
Filed under: uncultured Ascomycota
Lineage: Eukaryota; Fungi; Ascomycota
Description: LSU rRNA
Rfam family: Eukaryotic large subunit ribosomal RNA
Source: RNAcentral